AGGGCACCACCAGGAGUGGAGCCUGCGGCUUAAUUUGACUCAACACGGGGAAACUUACCCGGCCUGGACACUGGAAGGAUUGACAGAUUGAGAGCUCUUUCUUGAUUCAGUGGGUGGUGGUGCAUGGCCGUUCUUAGUUGGUGGAGCGAUUUGUCUGGUUAAUUCCGAUAACGAACGAGACUCUAGCCUAUUAAAUAGGCUCCCGGCUUUUAAACGCCGGGAGGACUUCUUAGAGGGACAGGUGGCGGUUCAGCCGCACGAAAGAGAGCAAUAACAGGUCUGUGAUGCCCUUUGUUGUCCGGGGCCGCACGCGCGCUACACUGAAGAGAUCAGCGUGCUUUACGUUCCUGCUCCGACCGGAGUGGGGAACCCAGUGAACCUUCUUCGUGAUUGGGAUAGAAGAUUGUAGUUAUUCUUCUUGAACGAGGAAUUCCCAGUAAAUGCGAGUCAUAAGCUCGCGUUGAUUACGUCCCUGCCCUUUGUACACACCGCCCGUCGCUACUACCGAUUGAACGAUUU
RNAcentral lists this ribosomal RNA (519 nucleotides) under uncultured eukaryote. RNAcentral describes it as "SSU rRNA". It matches the Rfam family "Eukaryotic small subunit ribosomal RNA", at positions 1161 to 1699 of the family's 1831-position model. The record is from RNAcentral.